Molecule: long non-coding RNA, 308 nt
Organism: Daphnia pulicaria
Lineage: Eukaryota; Metazoa; Arthropoda; Branchiopoda; Diplostraca; Daphniidae
Exons: 2
Source: RefSeq, a predicted model, not a curated record
GUAAGAUCCUGUACUUCUUUUCCGGUUUUGGUCGUUGUUUACUUUUCAAGGAAGCAAUUUUCCUCCUGUUAAGUUUUUCAUUCGGGAAAGAAAUUCCGUUUGUUUCCCUGUCAAUGACACUAAGGUGAACAUUCGUAUUAUUUUUCUAUUUUUAACUGCCUAGUUUUCAAUCUAUACUACAAUGAUAAUUUCACUUGAUCGCUAAACGGAUAAAACAUGAUUCCUUUUUAAUUUUAUAAAUAUUCCAUUCAUUUCUCGUUUACUCCUGUUUGAUUCACGAAUAAAUGUUUUUGUUGUGCUUUCUGAAA